RNAcentral lists this unclassified non-coding RNA (3991 nucleotides) under Nilaparvata lugens (brown planthopper). RNAcentral's name for it is "cartilage oligomeric matrix protein, transcript variant X2". The record is from RNAcentral. Lineage: Eukaryota; Metazoa; Arthropoda; Insecta; Hemiptera; Delphacidae.
CGCUUUCUGACGGGCUAAAAGCUCUCAGUAUCCCGCAGUCACUUGUCAGCAGUCAGCAAGUGACCAGUUAGUGACUAGUCAGUGCUCCACCGGACUUGGACUUUGACGCUCUGACAUGUGGUCUCGCGGUCAUCUUCUCGCCGCGGUGGCUUCAACCUUUCUUCUCUUCUUUUUGACAACUGCUGACGCACUCUUACCCGACAAUGAUGUGACGAAAUCGCUAGAGGAAGCCGUCCAAGAGGACCAGUUCAUUCUGAGUGUGAAGCACAUCAAGCCAAAGAAGCGACUGCGCGGUGGCAUCGAGACUGUCUUGGAAGUCGACUUCCCCGGCUCACAGCACAAGUUACAGUUACAGAUCGACAGACGUUCAAGGAGAGUUGUUGUAGAGACCCUGGAGGAUGGCAGACCUCGUACCCAGCACUUUUUCGUUGAGAAAUUGACCGAGGGCUCGGCCAUUCACAAUUUGCUCAUAGUAUUCGACCAGCGACAACCUGCGGCUUCAGCCACCCUCUAUUUUGACUGCGAGUCUCAGGGCAAAAUAAACAGCCACAUGACUCUCAAGGAAAUGUUCAAGAGCAUGCGCAAUCCACACAUUCAGGCUUAUCGUGAGAGGAAAUACGAAAUACAAGUAGAGUCUGAUUUGGGAAUCGGAGAAAUGCUGGACCGCAACAAUUGUCCAGACAGUAUUGUUAACGAAAUGUUAAACGACCAGCAAUUCGCAGGCAACGAUCUCACUACCCAAAUCAGGGGUGAUAUACCAAUAAUACACGACUGCGAUGAUAAUCUACUUGUCAAGGCUAUAAAUGAUCUGAUACAGAUAGUGAAGCAACUGAAGGAGGAGCUCAAUUACCAGAGAUCCGAGACUCGUCGAUUGAGAGAGUACCUGGAGAAAUGCGACAUCUGCAAGCCAGUGUCGCUGGCACAGACUCGUCCGACGUGCAGCAGCCAGCCGUGCUUCGCGGGCGUGGAAUGUCGCGACACGGUGGAGGGGCCCCGCUGUGGUCGCUGUCCGCACGGCUUCGUCGGAGACGGCCGCCACUGCAAGCCUGGCAUCACCUGCGCCGAGAAUCCCUGUCAUCCUGGCGUGAGAUGCUACGACACAGUGGAAGGCUUCCAGUGCGGUUCAUGUCCGGCGGGAAUGACGGGCGACGGGCGAAGGUGUGCUCCAAGGUCCGGAUGUGACAACCGACCCUGUUCUUCAGGUGUACAAUGUGUGAACUCGCCCGACCCACCCUACUAUAGAUGUGGCGCCUGCCCUGAAGGUUUCACAGGCAAUGGAACUAAUUGUCAUGAUUUGGAUGAGUGCGACCUAGCCGAGCCGUGCGACACGCGCGUCAAGUGCACGAACCUGGUGCCCGGGUUCCGUUGCGAGGCUUGCCCGCCUGGCUUCACCGGCUCGCCGGGCCUCGAGGGCGUUGGCCUGGAGUUCGCGCAUCGCUACCGCCAGCGCUGCUACGACAUCGACGAGUGCGCAGACGGACGCAACGGCGGCUGCGCGCCCAAUUCUGUCUGCACCAACACUGAGGGUUCAUUCCACUGCGGGUCAUGCAAGAUGGGCUACAUAGGCAACCAGACGAGUGGAUGCAGGAACCAGCCGGGUCUCUGCCCUGAUGGAACCCAGUGCGACUCCAAUGCCGAGUGUGUCAGAGUCAGUUACCACUCAUACCGAUGCAAAUGUAAAGUUGGGUAUGCAGGAGAUGGCCAGGUUUGUGGGUCGGACAGGGACCUCGAUGGCUGGCCCGACCAUCAACUCAGGUGCUCAGAUGCUCAUUGCAAGAAGGAUAACUGUGUGAACAUACCGAAUUCGGGACAAGAGGACGCAGACGGCGACGGGGAGGGAGACGUCUGCGACGCCGACGCUGACAACGAUGGCAUCUUGAACAGUCCUGACAACUGUCCAUUAGUGCACAACCCGGACCAACUGGACACGGACAGAGACGCGGACAGAAUGGGAGACGCCUGUGACAAUUGCCCCAUGGUUCCCAACCUGGACCAGGCCGAUGUCGACAAGGAUGGACUGGGAGAUGCGUGCGACAGUGACAUGGACAAUGAUGGCAUUCCGAACCACAACGACAACUGUCCGAAGAUCGCGAACGCGGACCAGAGGGAUCAGGACAACGACGGACUGGGUGACGUGUGUGACAACUGUCCACGGGUUCCCAACCCGACCCAGGUCGACAGCGACAAUGACCUCACCGGAGAUGCCUGCGACAGCGACAUCGAUCGCGACAGAGACGGUAUCCAGGACAGCACCGAUAACUGUCCAAAAGUAGCCAACAGCAACCAGUUGGACACCGACGGUGAUGGGAGGGGAGAUGAGUGCGACAAUGAUAUUGACAACGACGGCAUUCCUAACAGGGAGGAUAACUGUCCCCUAGGCUACAAUCCCUCACAGGAAGAUCGCGAUGGAAACGGAGUGGGAGACGUCUGCCAGGAUGACUAUGACUUGGACAAAGUGCCAAACAAUCUCGAUAAUUGUCCUAAUAAUUCGAAAAUAUUCUCUACAGAUUUCAGAACCUAUCAAACUGUUGCUCUAGACCCCGAGGUGAUUCUCAGAAUGAUCCCAAUUGGGAAAUUUACAACAAAGGAGCAGAAAUUGUCCAAACUCUAAACAGUGAUCCCGGAUUGGCAGUUGGUUAUCAUUCGUUUGGCGGCGUUGACUUCGAAGGAACUUUCUUUGUGGAUACUGAAAUUGAUGACGAUUAUGUCGGCUUUGUUUUCAGUUAUCAAGACAACCACAAAUUCUACACAGUGAUGUGGAAGAAGAGCUCGCAAACGUACUGGCAGGCUACGCCUUUCCGAGCGGUCGCCGAGCCUGGCAUCCAAUUGAAGCUGGUGCAGUCCGCCACGGGACCAGGCCAGGUGUUGAGAAACUCACUAUGGCAUACUGGCGACACUAACGAACAGGUGAAAUUACUGUGGAAAGACCCCAGAAACGUGGGUUGGAAGGAGAAGGUUGCUUAUCGUUGGUUACUGCUGCACCGUCCCAAGAUCGGACUUAUCCGUUUGAGGAUUUUCGAGGGUGAGAAUCUGGUGGCCGAUUCUGGAAAUGUGUUCGAUUCCACGCUGAGAGGCGGUCGGCUCGGAGUCUUCUGUUUCUCUCAAGAGAUGAUCAUCUGGUCUGAUCUUGUCUACAGGUGUAAUGACGAUGUGCCAGAAGCAAUAUACAGGGAGCUGCCUCCAAGGCUGCAGAAUGAAGUGAAUGUGGACUCUAGCCAACCUCGACAUCAUUGAAUAAGUUUUCACUCAAGUAUUAAUAUUGUAAUAAAAUUACAAUUGACUCAUAAGUCUAUGAACUAUGAUGUUUCGUUUAUGUACAGUGAUUGUUACAAGUUACUUGUUAAGAAAUUAUUAUUAUUUAUUUAACCACUGAUAACCUGCCAUUUGUUCCUUGGAUGCCAUUGAAUUGCAAUCUUUAAAACAUGAUUCAAUGUUGCUCUCAGUAAUUUUCAAGCAAAAAUUUUCAUUCUGCAUUGUCGAAUCAUAAUUUCAUCCUAGUAAUUACAAUGUACCUAUUAUAUCUUCCAUCAUUGACAAAUCAUUAAAACAUCAUCAUUAACUUUCAAUGUACACCCUAGAUGUAUUACUGUGUAUGUAUUACUAGAUCAUCUUAGCAAAGUAUGAUGCGACAUGAUAUUGAAAAUAGUCCUAUAUAAUGUAUUGUAUAAUCUGAGGCUUGAGGUCCAGUAAAAUUUAGUGAUUGAAUAUAAAUUAAUAAGAAAAUCUAAAACUGUUGAGCUAAUUGAGUGAGUGAUGUAUGAAGUGAUUGAUUAAGAUAAUAGAAUAUGAUUAAGAUCAUGCUAUUUUCAUUUGAAAUAAACGAUUUGGAAACAAGAGAAACCAUAAUGGACCUGUGAAAUAUGUAGGCCAAUGUUAAAAUCAUCAAACCGCUUACUGCCAUAACUUUAGCUUAUUAUUUAUUUCAACUACGGUACGUUAGUAUAAUUGUUUUAUGUUUUUUUUAAUAAUAGUAUGAGUAUUUUUAAAAUAA